UUGCUGGGUGGAUCAGUGGCGAACGGGUGAGUAACACGUGAGCAACCUGCCCCGGACUCUGGGAUAAGCGCUGGAAACGGCGUCUAAUACUGGAUAUGAGCUGCGAAGGCAUCUUCAGCGGUUGGAAAGAUUUUUCGGUUCGGGAUGGGCUCGCGGCCUAUCAGCUUGUUGGUGAGGUAAUGGCUCACCAAGGCGUCGACGGGUAGCCGGCCUGAGAGGGUGACCGGCCACACUGGGACUGAGACACGGCCCAGACUCCUACGGGAGGCAGCAGUGGGGAAUAUUGCACAAUGGGCGCAAGCCUGAUGCAGCAACGCCGCGUGAGGGAUGACGGCCUUCGGGUUGUAAACCUCUUUUAGCAAGGAAGAAGCGAAAGUGACGGUACUUGCAGAAAAAGCGCCGGCUAACUACGUGCCAGCAGCCGCGGUAAUACGUAGGGCGCAAGCGUUAUCCGGAAUUAUUGGGCGUAAAGAGCUCGUAGGCGGUUUGUCGCGUCUGCUGUGAAAACCCGAGGCUCAACCUCGGGCCUGCAGUGGGUACGGGCAGACUAGAGUGCGGUAGGGGAGAUUGGAAUUCCUGGUGUAGCGGUGGAAUGCGCAGAUAUCAGGAGGAACACCGAUGGCGAAGGCAGAUCUCUGGGCCGUAACUGACGCUGAGGAGCGAAAGGGUGGGGAGCAAACAGGCUUAGAUACCCUGGUAG
This 700-nucleotide ribosomal RNA is filed under the name Microbacterium sp. Its description in RNAcentral is "bacterial SSU rRNA". It matches the Rfam family "Bacterial small subunit ribosomal RNA", at positions 80 to 793 of the family's 1533-position model. The record is from RNAcentral. Lineage: Bacteria; Bacillati; Actinomycetota; Actinomycetes; Micrococcales; Microbacteriaceae.